GGUAGUAACAACUAAACAAACCAUCGAGUUUUGGCGGUCACACAAAAUUAGAGGAGCUCGUUAAAUAAUCGUAAAUACCCGAUAAAUUUUACUUAUUAUUAAAACUUAUAUACCGCCGUUAGAGAAAUAACCAAUAAUCAAAAUAAAACAAUCUUAAAAAAUCAGGUCAAGGUGUAGUUAAUAAAUGAGAAUAAAUUAGCUACAAAUAAACUUAAAAUUUAAGGAAUAAUACCCUAAAGCCAAUAAUGAAUAAGAAUCUAACCUCAAAUUAAUUUUAAAACAAAAAAUUGAC
RNAcentral lists this ribosomal RNA (292 nucleotides) under Coryssocnemis iviei. RNAcentral describes it as "partial 12S ribosomal RNA". The record is from RNAcentral. Lineage: Eukaryota; Metazoa; Arthropoda; Arachnida; Araneae; Pholcidae.